RNAcentral lists this ribosomal RNA (372 nucleotides) under uncultured organism. RNAcentral's name for it is "partial 16S ribosomal RNA". It matches the Rfam family "Bacterial small subunit ribosomal RNA", at positions 527 to 896 of the family's 1533-position model. The record is from RNAcentral.
GGGAGUGGCAAGCGUUAUCCGGAAUUAUUGGGCGUAAAGCGUCCGCAGGCGGCCUGACAAGUCUGCUGUUAAAGCGUGGGAGCUUAACUCCAUUUCAGCAGUGGAAACUGUCAGGCUUGAGUGUGGUAGGGGCAGAGGGAAUUCCCGGUGUAGCGGUGAAAUGCGUAGAUAUCGGGAAGAACACCAGUGGCGAAAGCGCUCUGCUGGGCCAUCACUGACGCUCAUGGACGAAAGCCAGGGGAGCGAAAGGGAUUAGAUACCCCUGUAGUCCUGGCCGUAAACGAUGAACACUAGGUGUCGGGGGAAUCGACCCCUCCGGUGUCGUAGCCAACGCGUUAAGUGUUCCGCCUGGGGAGUACGCACGCAAGUGUG